CCUCUUCGCUGAAUACAGCUCACGGUAAGUACUGGUUCACACAGUUCGUUCUCUGGGUGCUCACUCUCUUUCUCUUUCUCCACAGGCAACGGCUGGGACACACAGGCACAGUUAGUUCAGCUUGGUUUUGCUCUCACCUCUUCGCUGAUUACAGCUCACAGUAAGUACUGGUUCACACAGUUCGUUCCUUGGGUGCUCACUCGCUUUCUCUUUCUCCACAGGCAGCGGCGUAAGUACAGGUUUCCUCGGUCUCUCCUCGUGUUACCCACUCUCUCUCCUUUUUCUCUCCACAGGCAUCAACUUGGGCACACUAGCACAGUUAGUUUGCUUUGAAUGGCUCUCACCUCUGGGCUGAACACAGCGUACUGUAAGUACAGGUUUCCUCUGUUUCUCCUUGUGUUACUCACUCUCUCUUUCCUUUUCUCUCCACAGGUAUCAACUUGGGCACAAUAGCACAGUUAGUUUGCUUUGAAUGGCUCUCACCUCUGGGCUGGACACAGCGUACUGUAAGUACAGGGUUCGCUCUAUUCCUCCUCGUGUUAUUCACUCUCUCUUUCCUUUCCUCUCCACAGGUAUCAACUUGGGCACAAUAGCACAGUUAGUUUGCUUUGAAUGGCUCUCACCUCUGGGCUGGACACAGCGUACUGUAAGUACAGGGUUCGCUCUGUUUCUCCUUGUGUUACUCACUCUCUCUUUCCUUUCCUCUCCACAGGUAUCAACUUGGACGCAAAGCACAGUUACUCUGCUUUGGAUGGCUUUCACCUCUGGGCUGGACACAGCGUACUGUGCUAUCUCCGGAGAUCUGAAGCACGCUCACAACAUAUACUAUACUGAACUAGGCUAGGACCAGCAGUCUCCUUGUCCUCCCGCGACGAAGUGCGUGAAGGCGGGGGUUUAUCUGACAGGACACACG
Cyprinus carpio carpio is the source of this 913-nucleotide long non-coding RNA. NCBI's taxonomy places the organism in Eukaryota, Metazoa, Chordata, Actinopteri, Cypriniformes, Cyprinidae. The record is from Ensembl.